Molecule: ribosomal RNA, 253 nt
Filed under: uncultured bacterium
Lineage: Bacteria
Description: partial 16S ribosomal RNA
Rfam family: Bacterial small subunit ribosomal RNA
Source: RNAcentral
UACGUAGGGGGCAAGCGUUGUCCGGAAUCAUUGGGCGUAAAGCGCGUGUAGGCGGUCCGGUAAGUCCGCUGUGAAAGUCCAGGGCUCAACCCUGGGAUGCCGGUGGAUACUGUCGGGCUAGAGUACGGAAGAGGCGAGUGGAAUUCCCGGUGUAGCGGUGAAAUGCGUAGAGAUCGGGAGGAACACCAGUGGCGAAGGCGGCCGGCUGGGCAGUGGCUGACGCUGAGGCGCGACAGCGUGGGGAGCAAACAGG